GUCCACGCCGUAAACUAUGAUUACUCGUUUUCAGCCCUUUAGGGGUUGGAGACUAAGCGAAAGUGAUAAGUAAUCCACCUGGGGAGUACGAUCGCAAGGUUGAAACUCAAAGGAAUUGACGGGGGCCCGCACAAGCGGUGGAGCAUGUGGUUUAAUUCGAUGAUACGCGAGGAACCUUACCAGGGCUUAAAUGUAGAGGGAAUUAUGUGGAAACAUGUGAGUCUUCGGACCGUCUACAAGGUGCUGCAUGGCUGUCGU
RNAcentral lists this ribosomal RNA (258 nucleotides) under uncultured bacterium. RNAcentral describes it as "partial 16S ribosomal RNA". It matches the Rfam family "Bacterial small subunit ribosomal RNA", at positions 793 to 1055 of the family's 1533-position model. The record is from RNAcentral.